GAUGAACGCUGGCGGCGUGCCUAAUACAUGCAAGUCGAGCGAACAGACGAGGAGCUUGCUCCUCUGACGUUAGCGGCGGACGGGUGAGUAACACGUGGAUAACCUACCUAUAAGACUGGGAUAACUUCGGGAAACCGGAGCUAAUACCGGAUAAUAUAUUUAACCGCAUGGUUCAAUAGUGAAAGACGGUUUUGCUGUCACUUAUAGAUGGAUCCGCGCCGCAUUAGCUAGUUGGUAAGGUAACGGCUUACCAAGGCAACGAUGCGUAGCCGACCUGAGAGGGUGAUCGGCCACACUGGAACUGAGGCACGGUCCAGACUCCUACGGGAGGCAGCAGUAGGGAAUCUUCCGCAAUGGGCGAAAGCCUGACGGAGCAACGCCGCGUGAGUGAUGAAGGUCUUCGGAUCGUAAAACUCUGUUAUUAGGGAAGAACAAAUGUGUAAGUAACUAUGCACGUCUUGACGGUACCUAAUCAGAAAGCCACGGCUAACUACGUG
RNAcentral lists this ribosomal RNA (497 nucleotides) under uncultured bacterium. Its description in RNAcentral is "partial 16S ribosomal RNA". It matches the Rfam family "Bacterial small subunit ribosomal RNA", at positions 28 to 507 of the family's 1533-position model. The record is from RNAcentral.